RNAcentral lists this ribosomal RNA (992 nucleotides) under Periconia pseudobyssoides. RNAcentral describes it as "SSU rRNA". It matches the Rfam family "Eukaryotic small subunit ribosomal RNA", at positions 111 to 1112 of the family's 1831-position model. The record is from RNAcentral. Lineage: Eukaryota; Fungi; Ascomycota; Dothideomycetes; Pleosporales; Periconiaceae.
UAUCGUUUAUUUGAUAGUACCUUACUACUUGGAUAACCGUGGUAAUUCUAGAGCUAAUACAUGCUAAAAACCCCAACUUCGGGAGGGGUGUAUUUAUUAGAUAAAAAACCAAUGCCCUUCGGGGCUCCUUGGUGAUUCAUAAUAACUUCUCAGAUCGCAUGGCCUUGCGCCGGCGACGGUUCAUUCAAAUUUCUGCCCUAUCAACUUUCGAUGGUAAGGUAUUGGCUUACCAUGGUUUCAACGGGUAACGGGGAAUUAGGGUUCGAUUCCGGAGAGGGAGCCUGAGAAACGGCUACCACAUCCAAGGAAGGCAGCAGGCGCGCAAAUUACCCAAUCCCGACACGGGGAGGUAGUGACAAUAAAUACUGAUACAGGGCUCUUUAGGGUCUUGUAAUUGGAAUGAGUACAAUUUAAACCUCUUAACGAGGAACAAUUGGAGGGCAAGUCUGGUGCCAGCAGCCGCGGUAAUUCCAGCUCCAAUAGCGUAUAUUAAAGUUGUUGCAGUUAAAAAGCUCGUAGUUGAACCUUUGGCCUGGCUGGCGGGUCCGCCUCACCGCGUGCACUCGUCCGGCCGGGCCUUUUCUUCUGGAGAACCGCAUGCCCUUCACUGGGUGUGUUGGGGACCAGGACUUUUACUUUGAAAAAAUUAGAGUGUUCAAAGCAGGCCUUUGCUCGAAUACGUUAGCAUGGAAUAAUAGAAUAGGACGUGCGGUCCUAUUUUGUUGGUUUCUAGGACCGCCGUAAUGAUUAAUAGGGACAGUCGGGGGCAUCAGUAUUCAAUUGUCAGAGGUGAAAUUCUUGGAUUUAUUGAAGACUAACUACUGCGAAAGCAUUUGCCAAGGAUGUUUUCAUUAAUCAGUGAACGAAAGUUAGGGGAUCGAAGACGAUCAGAUACCGUCGUAGUCUUAACCAUAAACUAUGCCGACUAGGGAUCGGGCGGUGUUACUAUUUUGACCCGCUCGGCACCUUACGAGAAAUCAAAGUGUUUGGGU